This 68-nucleotide transfer RNA is filed under the name Eurycea bislineata (two-lined salamander). RNAcentral describes it as "tRNA-Glu". It matches the Rfam family "tRNA". From Rfam's summary of the family: Transfer RNA (tRNA) molecules are approximately 80 nucleotides in length. Their secondary structure includes four short double-helical elements and three loops (D, anti-codon, and T loops). The record is from RNAcentral. Lineage: Eukaryota; Metazoa; Chordata; Amphibia; Caudata; Plethodontidae.
GUUUUUGUAGUUGAAUACAACAUUGAUUUUUCAGAUCAAAGGUCUUGGUUAGAAGCCGGGUAAAAAUU